Molecule: ribosomal RNA, 253 nt
Filed under: uncultured bacterium
Lineage: Bacteria
Description: partial 16S ribosomal RNA
Rfam family: Bacterial small subunit ribosomal RNA
Source: RNAcentral
UACGUAGGGGGCAAGCGUUGUCCGGAAUCAUUGGGCGUAAAGCGCGUGUAGGCGGCCCGAUAAGUCCGCCGUGAAAGUCCAGGGCUCAACCCAGGAAUGCCGGUGGAUACUGUCGGGCUAGAGUCCGGAAGGGGCGAGUGGAAUUCCUGGUGUAGCGGUGAAAUGCGCAGAUAUCAGGAGGAACACCGAUGGCGAAGGCAGCUCGCUGGGACGGUACUGACGCUGAGACGCGAAAGCGUGGGGAGCAAACAGG